This 483-nucleotide ribosomal RNA is filed under the name uncultured bacterium. Its description in RNAcentral is "partial 16S ribosomal RNA". It matches the Rfam family "Bacterial small subunit ribosomal RNA", at positions 28 to 523 of the family's 1533-position model. The record is from RNAcentral.
GACGAACGCUGGCGGCGUGCUUAACACAUGCAAGUCGAACGAUGAAGCUGGAGCUUGCUCCAGUGGAUUAGUGGCGAACGGGUGAGUAACACGUGAGCAAUCUGCCCUUGACUCUGGGAUAACUGCGGGAAACUGUAGCUAAUACCGGAUACGACACCUUGGGGCAUCCCGGGGUGUGGAAAGAAUUUCGGUCAAGGAUGAGCUCGCGGCCUAUCAGCUUGUUGGUGAGGUAAAGGCUCACCAAGGCGACGCCGGGUAGCCGGCCUGAGAGGGUAACCGGCCACACUGGAACUGAGACACGGUCCAGACUCCUACGGGAGGCAGCAGUGGGGAAUAUUGCACAAUGGGCGAAAGCCUGAUGCAGCAACGCCGCGUGAGGGAUGACGGCCUUCGGGUUGUAAACCUCUUUUGGCAGGGAAGAAGCGAAAGUGACGGUACCUGCAGAAAAAGCACCGGCUAACUACGUGCCAGCCGCCGCCGUAA